Peromyscus maniculatus bairdii (prairie deer mouse) is the source of this 899-nucleotide non-coding RNA. The record is from RefSeq and is a predicted model, not a curated record. NCBI's taxonomy places the organism in Eukaryota, Metazoa, Chordata, Mammalia, Rodentia, Cricetidae.
AAAGCAUUUCUAUAAAAUUUGAAGACAUCAAGAACAUUCACAAAAUGCAGUUUCUAGUUUAAAAACUUUCUCGGAGUGUUAAAGCUUGCAUUGUAACACUUGAGAUGCUUUACAGCCCAGAGUUACUAAUGAAAUGUUAAAAUAAUCCCUUUGUUGGCAAUUUUUAAAGCUGUAAUCUACUUCAAUGAAGCAUUUGGAAACCGACCUAAGAUGCAUGGAGUCUACAAGUGUUAGCACCAGAUACAGUUGUGGAAAGCACUCUGAGCUGUUUGUUUGUUUGUUUGAAGCUGUUUCUAAGUCACAGGGGUGUAGACAGCAAACUAGAGGAAGCCUUUGAGGCAGUGAAAGCAGAGAGUAAAAAAGAAUUAAAAAAGGACUUUAUUGCAAAGGGAAAUAGAAGAAAAGCUUUGGAAACCCACAAAGGCAGCAAAAAGAUAUGGAAAAUAACAGGGAAAAAAAUACAUAAAACACAAGAUGCAGACAAGCAAGAAGCUGAGCACAGCUUCAGCCCCCAGUUCCUCGUGAGGACCCAGAAGCUGCUUCCAAAGGGAAGCCUGAUGGAGGCCAGGCCUCCCUUCUCAGGACAGGACAGGCUCCCAGGAACAUCAGCUCCAGUGGCCGGUGCAGAUGAGACAGGGAUCACAUCGGUGGAUCAGUCAGCAGGAGAAAGGGGUGAUUUAUAUAAUAAGGACACCCACAUAACCAGACCAGACUUGGAAGUAAUCAAGGACUAUGAACACAGAUAUUAAAGAAAUUGAUACUGGCUGUACAAAGGUUGGAAUGCUGCCUCUGCAUCUCCAGGAAGAGGGAGACCCCAAAUACCUGUAAGAUCCGUGAUCCUGAACUAAAUCAUUACCCAAGUCAGCUUCUCUUCUCAAUUUUCUGCCAGUCAAGGGGAU